This 732-nucleotide ribosomal RNA is filed under the name uncultured Bacteroides sp. Its description in RNAcentral is "bacterial SSU rRNA". It matches the Rfam family "Bacterial small subunit ribosomal RNA", at positions 441 to 1177 of the family's 1533-position model. Lineage: Bacteria; Pseudomonadati; Bacteroidota; Bacteroidia; Bacteroidales; Bacteroidaceae. The record is from RNAcentral.
CNGGAAUAAAGUUAGGCACGUGUGCCUUUUUGUAUGUACCGUAUGAGUAAGGAUCGGCUAACUCCGUGCCAGCAGCCGCGGUAAUACGGAGGAUCCGAGCGUUAUCCGGAUUUAUUGGGUUUAAAGGGAGCGUAGGCGGAUGCUUAAGUCAGUUGUGAAAGUUUGCGGCUCAACCGUAAAAUUGCAGUUGAUACUGGGUGUCUUGAGUACAGUAGAGGCAGGCGGAAUUCGUGGUGUAGCGGUGAAAUGCUUAGAUAUCACGAAGAACUCCGAUUGCGAAGGCAGCUUGCUGGACUGUAACUGACGCUGAUGCUCGAAAGUGUGGGUAUCAAACAGGAUUAGAUACCCUGGUAGUCCACACAGUAAACGAUGAAUACUCGCUGUUUGCGAUAUACAGUAAGCGGCCAAGCGAAAGCGUUAAGUAUUCCACCUGGGGAGUACGCCGGCAACGGUGAAACUCAAAGGAAUUGACGGGGGCCCGCACAAGCGGAGGAACAUGUGGUUUAAUUCGAUGAUACGCGAGGAACCUUACCCGGGCUUAAAUUGCAGAUGAAUGUUCUGGAAACAGAUCAGCCGCAAGGCAUUUGUGAAGGUGCUGCAUGGUUGUCGUCAGCUCGUGCCGUGAGGUGUCGGCUUAAGUGCCAUAACGAGCGCAACCCUUAUCGAUAGUUACUAUCAGGUUAUGCUGGGGACUCUGUCGAGACUGCCGUCGUAAGAUGUGAGGAAGGUGGA